CCAAUAGCGUAUAUUAAAGUUGUUGCAGUUAAAAAGCUCGUAGUUGAGUUUCGGGGUCAGUAGGUUGGUCAUGCCUCCGGUAUGUACUGGUCUCACUGAUUCCUCCUUCCUGAUGAGCCGUAAUGCCAUUAAUUUGGUGUUGCGGGGAAUCUGGACUGUUACUUUGAAAAAAUUAGAGUGUUUAAAGCAAGCUAACGCUUGAAUACAUUAGCAUGGAAUAAUGGAAUAGGACGUUCGAUCCUAUUUUGUUGGUUUCUAGGAUUGACGUAAUGAUUAAUAGGGAUAGUUGGGGGCAUUAGUAUUCAAUUGUCAGAGGUGAAAUUCUUGGAUUUAUUGAAGACUAACUACUGCGAAAGCAUUUGCCAAGGAUGUUUUCAUUAAUCAAGAACGAAAGUUAGGGGAUCGAAGACGAUCAGAUACCGUCGUAGUCUUAACCAUAAACUAUGCCGACUAGGGAUCGGAUGAUGUUAAUUUUUUAAUGACUCAUUCGGCGCCUUACG
Molecule: ribosomal RNA, 500 nt
Filed under: uncultured Glomeromycotina
Lineage: Eukaryota; Fungi; Glomeromycota
Description: partial small subunit ribosomal RNA
Rfam family: Eukaryotic small subunit ribosomal RNA
Source: RNAcentral